CCGGUGCAGCGGCUCCCCGGGCGCCGGACUCUCUGUGCACCAGAUUCCCCCGUGCAACGUCUCCCCGUGCACCGGCGUCCUCGUGCAACGGGAGUCGGACAGUCCCCGUGCAGCACCUCCCCGUGCACCGGACUCUCCGUGCACCAGAUUCCCCGUGCACCAGGAGUGGGACGGUCCCCGUGCAACGUCUCCCCAUGCACCAGAUUCCCCGUGCACCAGGAGCGGGACGGUCCCCGUGCAACAUCUCCCCGUGCACCAGCGUCCCCGUGCACCAGGAGGUGGAUGGGCCCCUGUGCAUCGUCUCUCCGUGCACCGGACUCUCCGUGCACCAGGAGCCAGAUGGUCCCCGUGCAACAGCUCCCCGUGCACCGGCCUCCCCAUGGACCAGCGUCCCUGUGCACCAGGAGCUGGACGGUCCCUGUGCAUCACCUCCCCGUGCACCAGACUCUCCAUGCACCAGAUUCCCCGUGCAUCAUCUCCCCGUGCACCGGACUCUCCGUGCACCGGAUUCCCUGUGCAACGAGAGCCAGACGGUCCCUGUGCAACAUCUCCCCGUGCACCGGACUCUGUGCACCGGAUUCCCCGUGCACCGGGAGCAAAUGGUCCCCGUGCAACAUCUCCCCGUGCACCGGACUCUCCGUGCACCGGAUUGCCCGUGCAACAUCUCCCCAUGCACCGGUGUCCCCGUGCACCAGGAGGCAUCACCUCCCCGUGCACUGGCCUCCUCGUGCACAGGAUUCCCCGUGCACUGGACUCUCCGUGCAGCAGCAGCCACGUGCACCGGAAGCAGGAUGGUCCCCGUGCACCAGCCUCCUCGUGCACCUGCCUCCUCGUGCAUCAGCUGCCUCGUGCAUUGGCACUGGGACUUCCUUGUGCAUCAGCCUCCCCGUGCACCAGCUCGCCUUGCACCGGCCGCUCUCGUGCACCAGGACCGGGGCCUCCUCGUGCAUCAGCCUCGUCGUGCACCCACCUCGUCGUGCACCGGCACCGGGACCUCCCUGUGCAUCCGCCUCCCCGUGCAUCGGCACUGGGACCUCCUUGU
Molecule: long non-coding RNA, 1042 nt
Filed under: Struthio camelus australis
Lineage: Eukaryota; Metazoa; Chordata; Aves; Struthioniformes; Struthionidae
Description: lncRNA (ENSSCUG00000005586.1)
Source: RNAcentral